AGCUGCCUCAAGUCCGUCGGCGCACAUCUGAGAGGCAGUACGAGCACCAUCAAACAUAGCUUGAAUUAGUUUAUCUUGAUUGACAUGGGGGAGUUGUUUGCUAGGACACAAACCGAAGGAAAUCGACAUUCUUUUAACGACACUGUGAUCUAUGCUUGGUGGAACAUUUGGAAAUUGUGGAAACUUUGCACUUUCCAGAGUUGGAGCAUCUGGAUAGCCAGAAAUGAUUGGAUCUUUAAAGAGGUUUUUCCACCUGUGCAAGCAUGUUUGAUUCGAUUCAAAUCAGUUUUUAC
RNAcentral lists this long non-coding RNA (293 nucleotides) under Setaria italica (foxtail millet). Its description in RNAcentral is "long non-coding RNA (SITA_LNC000487)". The record is from RNAcentral. Lineage: Eukaryota; Viridiplantae; Streptophyta; Magnoliopsida; Poales; Poaceae.